Small nucleolar RNA from Octodon degus (degu), 129 nucleotides. The record is from Ensembl. NCBI's taxonomy places the organism in Eukaryota, Metazoa, Chordata, Mammalia, Rodentia, Octodontidae.
UGGACCUCCUCAGAGCAGGUGGCUUGAAGAAUGGCUUCUCUGUUUACAACAUGCCCAACAGGAACUUAGCAUCACUGUGACAAGGGGCGUAGAACUUACGACUUCCCUUUGAGAAAAGGUGCCAUGCAU